AAAGCAAGGAGGCUCUUCAAGAAAUUUUGGAACCUUUUGCAGGAGUAACAACUGAAUGUCUACAGGAAUGGAUAGAUUAUGAGCGGGUUGUGUGUAUCCGCAGCAAAUCAACUGAAAAUCACUCCUUGUCACCUGCUGAAGAGUAUUGUCUAGUCCUGGAGGAGCUAACAAAAUACAGGUACUUUUAAUAGGAAUAAUGCAU
Molecule: long non-coding RNA, 202 nt
Organism: Dreissena polymorpha
Lineage: Eukaryota; Metazoa; Mollusca; Bivalvia; Myida; Dreissenidae
Exons: 3
Source: RefSeq, a predicted model, not a curated record